GACGAACGCUGGCGGCGUGCUUAACACAUGCAAGUCGAACGGAAAGGCCCUGCUUGCAGGGUACUCGAGUGGCGAACGGGUGAGUAACACGUGGGUGAUCUGCCCUGCACUUCGGGAUAAGCCUGGGAAACUGGGUCUACUACCGGAUAGGAGCCAUUUUUAGUGUGAUGGUUGGAAAGUUUUUUCGGUGUAGGAUGAGCUCGCGGCCUAUCAGCUUGUUGGUGGGGUAAUGGCCUACCAAGGCGGCGACGGGUAGCCGGCCUGAGAGGGUGGACGGCCACAAUGGGACUGAGGGACGGCCCAGACUCCUACGGGAGGCAGCAGGGGGGAAGAUUGCACGAUGGGCGCAAGCCGGAUGCAGAGACGCCGCGUGGGGGAUGACGGCCUUCGGGUUGUAAAAUCAUUUCGCUAGGGACGAAGCUUUUUGUGACGGUACCUAGAUAAGAAGCACCGGCUAACUACGUG
Molecule: ribosomal RNA, 465 nt
Filed under: uncultured bacterium
Lineage: Bacteria
Description: partial 16S ribosomal RNA
Rfam family: Bacterial small subunit ribosomal RNA
Source: RNAcentral